Molecule: transfer RNA, 72 nt
Filed under: Candidatus Parcubacteria bacterium
Lineage: Bacteria; Candidatus Parcubacteria
Description: tRNA-Arg
Rfam family: tRNA
About the family: Transfer RNA (tRNA) molecules are approximately 80 nucleotides in length.
Source: RNAcentral
GCCCCUGUAGUUCAAAGGAAAGAACAGCUUCCUCCUAAGGAGCGGAUCCAGGUUCGAUUCCUGGUAGGGGCA